GGAAUAAGGUGGGUAGGGGGGUCACACCGCGACGUCACACGGAGCCGCAGCCAUGAAGAUGCAGCGGCGGCCGAGCCGGGGAGCUGAGCACGAGACCUGCUGAGAGCGCUGCACGGGAGCCGAAUGUUCGAACUUAGACUGACGACCAGGAGCCCAGCAUAGAGGGCUGAAUCGGAGCCUGUCAGUUCCCUCUGUGGUUGGAAAAGAUGGUUGGCCGGAGGGGUUGGCUGUUAUCUUUGGUUAUCUAGCUGUAUGAGUGAUGUACAUUCUUCAUAAAGCUAGAUAACCGAAAGUAACAAGAAUCCCAUUACACACCUGAAAGGCACUGCCCACUCAGCACUCCAUGCCUUGCCCCUUGCUCUCUUCAUCUUCAUACAGAAGACAAGUCACUAAAUGGCCUAUAGAAGGAAAAGAAGAAAAAAGAUUACCUCCCUCAGUCUGUCUCUGAAAGAUGCCAGGGAAAGGGAAGGAAAACGUGGAGGAUGCUCUAAGGAGGAGGGGUGUGUUGAUGUGAAAGCUGCCUGCUCACCCUCCAUGCGCCCCAACCAUGCGUCUGCGCUCUCCACCCCUCCUCUCGCUGCCUGCCCCUUUCCUCCUAUCACGAGCGGCAGCCCAUGCCUCGCCACCAUCUUAGAGCACGCUGGCAUGAAAUGGAAGAGGGAGGAGAAAGGAGCAGGUGUUGGAGGAAUUAAACAGAGGAUUGAUCAAAUGAAUGAUAUGCAAACAUGGACGACAAAUUAGCAUCUGCUGAUGAAGCACUUCGGCUUGACACAGAUCUCUGCACCCUUUUACUCUGUGCCCCAACGUUUUAUCAUUGUAGCACUUUACAAGGGCAUUUUUCUGUUCAUCUGUUAAGUUAGUGUUUAUUUAACGUUUUAUUUUCCUUUCUUUUUUAUAUUUUUUAAUCUUUACAAUCAAACAUAAUAAUGGGGGUGGGUGUUAUGGUAAACAUAUUAUAACCCUGAUAUUUGAAGACAUUUUCACAAUACACAUGCAGACAGACUACACCAGUAGUGUAGCAGAUUCUUAAAAACAUGGUACAAAUGUUUGUACAGUUACAGCAUGUUUAUACUUACAGUAAAAAUUCAUUUUUUUUAUUUAAAAUGGGCUGCACUUUAGCCAGUUAAAGAGGGCUAAUUACACAUUAAAUUUCACAAUGAAAUGUGCAGUUGGUCAGUGUUCAUGAAGCCGUAAUGAUAUCAAUAAUACGAUUAGAAAAGUCUACUUUAUAUCUCAAUAAAAAUAAUUGAUUAUAUCUUAAUAAAACAUUAUCAUAUUGCCUACCUCUAUUCUAAAUCACAGACCAUAAAAUAAAAGGAAAAAAAAUAAGAAGGAAAAAUCUCUUAAUCAUUUUUUUUAUAUAGGAAUUUAGUUUAUAAAAAUUACUUUACUGAUCUGGGUUGAAAAUAAAAUCAUGUAUUGCACUAAGCAUAGGCAACUUUAAGUAUUAUUAUUAUCAUCAGUACUGGUAGUAUCGUACAGUAGAUUGACUGAGAAGGUGCACAAAUAUAGAACUUUCCAGGAAUCUAUUGUCAAUUCAUCUCACACCAUUUUAGAAAUGGGUUACCUAUAGAGGUCAAACAUUCAAGUGUGUAUUAGAGAAAAAAAGUAUCUUUUAAAAUGUAUUUAACCCAGGUCAAGACAAUCAGCUAGCCUAAUCUGCCCGUACUCUUAUGGGCAAAUUCAAUCUCUAGCAUAGAGCACUUUACACAUUCAUAUAAUCAUUUUCUCUUCUUUCUAUUCUCCUUUGUUACAUUUGAUGUUAUAAGUAAAGCACUAGUGCCUCCACAAUGAUAUACGGUAAAUGUUAUCAUUAAAUGUAAAAUAUUUUCACUAUCAGACAAUAACCUUGUACCUCCAUUUUUGCCGUUUUUCACAUUUUGACAUGGACAAAUAGAAAUGCUCCUAAAUAUUUUAGAAUAGAAUCUCUUACACUUUAACUUCCAUUAGAAGUUAAGAAGGAUUUUUUUUCAUCCUGCAAAUUUGCAAUUUUGGAGAUACAAGCUUUUUGUCAGACAGCGAUAGUAUAAAACAUCCUUGUAUCCCUCUGUUAUAGCUGUUCCCACAAAACACAGUCUAUUCUACUGAUGGUUUAGAGCUCAUAAACUGAGUGUAUGAAUGUGAGACCCACGGCCGGCAGCAGUGAAGGGUACUGCACUGUGAUUGAACAGCUCUGUGUGUUGACAGAUACACACCUGGAGUAGAGAGAGCUGUUGUCUUUAUUCUCUAUGCAAUUGCGUUGGACUUGCAAUCAACUAGCAGCAGUUCUGAACUAGGAUCUGUUCUGAAAAGCUAGAAUCUCCUCUAUUUCAAUUACAAAAGCAAGUUAAAAAUAAUGCAGCAUUAAUAGCUGUCUGAAUUGUCAUUACAAGGUUAAAAUGCAGUUUUACCUUCUGAGUGUUUUUAUUGUUAUUUUUUUUCUAUUUAGCUAAGUUGCAUUUAUUUAGAAAAAGGAAGUAAUCCCACAUUUUUAUAUUUUAAUAGGUUUAUAAGCUCUUGUAGAUAGUAAGGUCCUCACCAUUACAUGUUAAUUUAGAUUUUCUGUUGAGACUAAUGUCUGUGUAUUAAUUCCAUUCUUUUUUAUUUUUCUAAAUGUCAUAUAAGCACUGUUAAGUAGUAUUUUCCUUACUUACAUUUAUAAUCAUGCUUGGGCAGAGGCAAAUAUAUAUAUAUACUUAUUUUUUUAUUUUGUAUUGUCUAUGCAAAUUAUAUUUUGAUGAGAAUUGUGCAAUUUGUUUUUGAGACCCAGUUUUGAAGGCAAUCGGGCAAUCAUAGACCCUGUAUAUUUUAUUAAAAUAAAUGAAGAUCAUUGACUAUGCAAUUUAUGUAAAUUUAGGAGUAACAUUUGGACUAUUUGCACUACUUUUAGUAAUAGGUGUAAAUGUGUGUGAAUGAUUUGUAAUCCUUUUGAUGGUGUGAAUGUUUUUGAAUGUGUGCGUAAUCUAAAAUGAUGUAACAUUUCUUUUCAUUAAGACUAAUGUGAUUAACCUGCUCCUAUAGGCUGCCAUAUGUGCCUUACACUGUUUAGUCCUGUUAUGGAUACUAAUAAAAGUUUACAUUGAAAACAAAUGACAAAAA
This is a long non-coding RNA of Astyanax mexicanus (Mexican tetra), 3078 nucleotides long. RefSeq lists it as uncharacterized. The transcript is spliced from 5 exons. NCBI's taxonomy places the organism in Eukaryota, Metazoa, Chordata, Actinopteri, Characiformes, Acestrorhamphidae. The record is from RefSeq and is a predicted model, not a curated record.